GUCGCAGUGGCUCAGUAGGGUAGAGGUUUGGCUAUGGCGCAGAAGGUCGAGGGUUCGAACCCCCACUGUGGUA
Non-coding RNA from Caenorhabditis elegans, 73 nucleotides. The record is from the annotation of a RefSeq genome assembly. NCBI's taxonomy places the organism in Eukaryota, Metazoa, Nematoda, Chromadorea, Rhabditida, Rhabditidae.